UCGUGGCGACCAUGCCUGAACGGCAAAUUCUCUGAUCGCGCAAAGAUGGAUUCGGGGCAGCGAAUCUUACUUCACGGUCUUACGGCGUUGUAGACGCCGGGGGACCGGCGGGUGCGUCAAAAUUUGAUCCUGCGUUAGUCGAGUGAUAGCGUGUCGAUGCACAGCGCACAAGAACUGCGGUCGCUGCGCGCCGCCAUUUGCCAGAUAAAGGCCAGCUUGCCCGCGCAAGAAUAAUUGACGAUCGCAGGAAUCGAUCGGCGAUGCGACCCAGUGAAA
Molecule: unclassified non-coding RNA, 276 nt
Filed under: uncultured fungus
Lineage: Eukaryota; Fungi
Description: sequence contains ITS1
Source: RNAcentral